RNAcentral lists this unclassified non-coding RNA (400 nucleotides) under soil metagenome. RNAcentral describes it as "partial contains 5.8S ribosomal RNA, internal transcribed spacer 2, and large subunit ribosomal RNA". The stretch from base 1 to 122 matches the Rfam family "5.8S ribosomal RNA", at positions 35 to 154 of the family's 154-position model. The record is from RNAcentral.
GAUGAAGAACGUAGCGAAAUGCGAUACUUGGUGUGAAUUGCAGAAUCCCGUGAACCAUCGAGUCUUUGAACGCAAGUUGCGCCUCAAGCCAUUAGGUUGAGGGCACGUCUGCCUGGGCGUCACAUAUCGUUGCCUGAUGCCAGUUUCCUCGUGAUGGGUGACUGUGCAGGGCGAAUGAUGGCUUCCCGUGAGCAUUGUUGCCUCAUGGUUGGUUGAAAAUUGAGUCCUUGGUAGGGAGCGCCGUGAUAGAUGGUGGUUGAGUGACGAACGAGACCCAAUCAUGUGAGACCCCUACCGAAUUUGGCCUUCAUGACCCACAUGCGUCUUUGGAACGCUCAUGACGAGACCUCAGGUCAGGCGGGGCUACCCGCUGAGUUUAAGCAUAUCAAUAAGCGGACGA